GGGAGCUCACGUCCAGAGAGUUAUAUAGGUUGUCCCAUUAUGAUGUAGUGCCUGCAACACUGGCCUUGGGAGUCAGAAAGACAUAGGUUCAAAUCAUGCCUCUGACAUUUAGCAGCUAGUUCUGUUCAGUUAAUGCCACUGAACCUCAGUUUCUUCCUUUGUAAUGUAUAUAUAAGAACAGUAAUCUUAGAGGGUGGUUGUUAGGGUCAGUUGGGAUGGUGUAUGUAAAGGGUUUAUAGCCUUAAGACGUUAUCUGUCCAGUUCUGAGUCAUAAUUGUGAAUUCAUCCUACCAAGGUCACACAUAGCUAGCAGAUGGCAGAGCCAAAAGUAGAGCCUCACUGGCUUCCCUGCCUUCAAGCCCAACACUCUUGUAUUAUUGUACCUAGUGACCAGGGCUGGUUUCUUUGUCCACAAAACAGGAGCUAAUCAUGAUGACUUUGCUAUGGCAGUGAAGUAUGAAAAAACUAAUACCGCCCCCACCAAAUCCACUAACAUUAAGUACUAUCCAAGUUACUAAAAAAAAUGGAAGAGACAGAAAUAAUAUAAAUAAAUCCCAACAGAGAGAAGAGAACAAAAGCCGCUUCUUGUCCCAUGUCCACUAAGGGAGCAUUUCCUAGUCCCUUCUCCCUGAGCCUCAGGAAAAUAGGACUAGAGCUGGAAUCCUUCCCAACCUAAGCCCUAGAUAAACAAAGGCCAGGCGAGCUCUCAGAAGUGAACCCUGGUAACCAGAGGACACUGAGCUAUAACAUUCCAAAUGAGAGUACAAAGGGGGGCAAGCCCAGUCUUAGGGAAGACAGAGGGCUGGUACCUGCCCAUCUGCCUGCUUCUCUUCCCCCCCCCCCUUAAACUGUUGCUAGAAAACAGAUGGCUGCAGGAGCCCGAAUUUUAAAUUUAUGAAUGGAAAUUUGCACAGAUGUUAGUAAUCAAGAUGCAUGGAUCCAGUGUCGAAGACUGGGAGGGACAACAAAGGAAACAUUUUGAAAGAACAAAGAGGACAAAACUACUAAGGGUCUACAUAGAUGCAUCCGGCCAAAAUCAGGAAGAAGUUCUUGUUGCCAAUGGAAGAGUUAUCUUGGAAGCUGAAGUCCUCACCUGGCUCCAAUCUACCUUUCUAAGCCUAGUAAGGUUAUCAUUAUAUAUUUUAUAAGAGAUCUCAAAAGUCUUAGUAAAGUUUUAAAUCGUUAAGAAAGAAUUGGAAAAAUCUCCUUUCAAGGUGCCUUUUCCCAGAGAUAUUGUUCCCAGACUCCCAAGGCUUCAUCUCUGUGUAUUACCUAGUGCUUGACUCUUUGUAGUGGCCUUGUCCUGAUUAAAGACUUGUUCUAAGGGGGGGGGGGGGGAAUUCAGCUGCACUAAAACUUUUGGGACACCCCAUCUCUUACUCUCCCUUUACACUCUCCAGUUCAGUCAAACUGGCCUUCUUUCUGUUUUUCACACAAGACAAUCAAUUCCAUCUUUUCGGAUCCUUCUGGUGAUCUUCCCUGAUGCUAGGGCCUUCCCACAGUCUUGAUGUUCUCAUCAUUUUGUAAGUUUCUCCAUACAAGCUCUUUGAGGGCAAGACCCAUUUCAUUUUUUGCCUUUAAAUCCCCAGUGUUGGCACUGUAGGUCCUUUAACAAAAUACUUGCUUGCUCAUUAAUCCAUGUUUUACUAACAGUCUCAUUAGCUAGGAUGCUUAACAUGGAGACUAAACUAAUGAAUCUUUCUAAAGGAAUGAAUCAUCCUGACUCUUGGGGGCUGGAAGUCUGGGUUGAAUUGUUGGCUUUUUAGCUAACUACAGGAAACCUGGCUGCUACCCAAGGCACUAUGUGGACUUGAGCAGAGCCACCCAGCUGAAGAAUGCUAGUGGCAAGGGAGUGAGAGCAAUGGGUGCGGGGGAGCCCUUAGAAGACCAGAACUGAUCCCCAUGAAAUAAUCUAGAUCUGGGGAAAGAUGAAGCUGGAAUCCACCGGGAUUUUGUUGCUGGACUUGAAAUCAGGUAAAGUCAAUAUUGACUCACAUUCACCAGCUCUGGAUAAGUCACUAUUUUUCUCAGCACCUAUUUCCUCAUCUGCAAAAUGGGGAUAAAAUCUACUUCAGAGCCAUUUUGAGGCUAAAAUGAGAAUGUAGGUGUGUAAAGUCCUUUGUAAACCAUAACAUUUUAUAUGAAGGUUAUCUGUCAUUUCCAGCAUCAGAAACAGAGUUUUAGUGUCCCUUUCAAAAAAACUGCACUGAGGGGACAGCUGGGUAGCUCGGUGAAUUGAGAGUCAGUUCUAGAGACAGGAGGAGGUUGUGGGUUCAAAUCUGGCCUCAGAGACUUCCCAGCUGUGUGACCCUGGGCAAGUCACUUGACCCCCAUUGCCUACCUUUACAGCUAUUCUGCCUUGGAGCCAAUUCACAGUAAGGGUUUUAAAAAAUACUGCACUGCAAGACUCCUCCUAAUCCUACAGAGGCAUCUGAGUCUCCAGUCUUACAGCGAUACAUAUCAUAGAAUGUUAGUUAGUUGGAAGCCUCAUUGGGGACCAUGAAGUCUGGCCCCUUAUUACUGGGGCUGUAGAAGUCUGAGUGGAAAAACUCUUCAAUACAUCUUAGGAUCUCUACCUAGGGUCUCACUGCCAAUCACUUAAAACUUUUAAACACACAUAAAAAGGGCAUUUAGAGUUAUUUUUAAUGAAGUAAUUAGUGCAUAUAUUCCAGAGAGAGCAUUGGCAUUUUUCUGGGAUCAACACAGGUAGACAUGGGAAUAAUUAUUUAUUCAGGCAUGUGAAUGAUGGGCUCCCAUAUGUUACUUUGGGGCCAGUAGUGUAGUAAAUUAUUCAUUUUUUACUGCAUUAAUGUCCUCAAUCCAAAGACAUCAUGAACAGAUAUCAAAAAGGACAGCAUAUAGAAGGGUUGCAAUCUGCACUAGAAGAGAGAGGAUGCGCACCAAUCCAUUUAGGUUUCUGAAAUCUUAAGAUCACAGAUGUGGAGGUGGAAGGAACCUUAGAAACCAAUGAGUCUCGUUGCCUUAUUUUAUGGAUGAGAAAGUCAAGGUCUAGGGAAAUCAAGUCAUUUGUCAAAGGUCCCGAAGGCAGUGCCCCAUCUCCUGUUACCUGGCUCACUUAUGAAUCAGAUUCUUUCCCUGGUGGCUAAAAAGUGCGAAUGCUCCAAGCCUACGUCAAGUCAAACAUCUACAUGUCUUCUCUGUGCAAGGCCAUGGCUGUGUUGGGCAAAGAGACAAAGGGAAGACUCUUGCCUCAAGUUUGCAUUCUUUGGAAAGAGUUCUUCACGUACACCCAUGAAGCACAAGCCCUGUGCUUCAAGUGGUGAGGAAAUACUAGCCAACGUCAAGUGAUAACGGUCAGGGAAGACUUCACAGAGGAGGUAGCCCCCUGAUAAGUCUUUAGGAUCAGUUAAAUAAGCAUUUUUAAGCAUUUACUGUGUGCCAGGGACUGUGGGUGAAGACAAAAAAUAGACUAGAAUUAGCGGACUCAACCCUCAAGGAGCAUGUUCUUUUUUCCUGACUCAACCAGACAAGACUAAUUCACAGGUAGAGAGUAACUCCUAAAGAUAUGGGCCACUAAGUAUUUACUCAAGCCUUACCAGGAGUUUUUAUUUUUAAUAGACUACAGGCCCUAAAGCUUUUUGGAACUAAGCUUCGUUUUAUUAGACAAAUCAUAUGUUUGAUCCCCAGUAAUCUACUCUUUAAUGGCAGAUGGAACCUUUAAAAAAUAAAAACAAAACUCAUCCUGUCUCCA
Long non-coding RNA from Monodelphis domestica (gray short-tailed opossum), 3712 nucleotides. NCBI's taxonomy places the organism in Eukaryota, Metazoa, Chordata, Mammalia, Didelphimorphia, Didelphidae. The record is from Ensembl.